RNAcentral lists this long non-coding RNA (2467 nucleotides) under Fragaria vesca (wild strawberry). RNAcentral describes it as "long non-coding RNA (FVES_LNC004097)". The record is from RNAcentral. Lineage: Eukaryota; Viridiplantae; Streptophyta; Magnoliopsida; Rosales; Rosaceae.
GAAGUGUAUGGAAUUUUGCCAGACUCCUACAAGUUGCAACCACAUGAGCUAGUCAUUGCCCACUGGUGGGUAUUGAUUAACUGUCCAGAAGUUGAAUACUCGAAAGACAUCCAUCUAUAUUGUCCAGACAUUCAAGGUGAUCUCGAGUACCACAACAGGGAGUUCGCAGAUUAUUUUGGCGGCUGGGUACGUAAUUUAAUUUUUCUGUACGUGUUUAUGUUUAUUGCAUAAUUAUCCAUAUUUACAGUUGAAUGGUUGGUUGCAGAUGAACCAUAUUCAAUUUGAUGGUCACCCAAAUUGGUCGCACGAACUAAGACUUCUAGCGAUGAAGCCGAUAAUGUCAAGAGUUUAUCCGAUGUGCAAGGUGAAUGGCGUGCAAUUUAUAUGCGAACAAAGAGACAGCAGAAGGAGAACACAGAAUUCUGGGGUCAUGGAACAUGGUGGGCGAAAUGGAGUUGACUAUUACGGUGUUCUCCAUUCAGUGGUGGAACUCGUUUAUGGGCAAGGCAUGACAGUGCACCUCUUCAAGUGUAGAUGGUUUGAUACUAGGCCGCGGAGCAUGAAGACCGAUCAGUACGGAAUAUUAUCGGUGAACACUGCUACAAGUUCUUACGAAGAUGACCCGUUCGUUUUUGCCACAUCGGUAAAACAAGUGUUUUAUUUUGAUGACCUUGCUAAGGGUGACGCGUGGAAAGUAGUCAACCUUGUGCACCCUCGAAACAUUUACCGGGCGGCUACACUUGGAGAGGCCGAAGAUGAGGAAGAGGAUGUUGCGUAUCAAGAGCCCAACGCAAUAGGUAUUCCUAACUCCUCUACCGUUCGCCUUAAUAAUUUUAAAGCGGGUCGUUCGAUGCGAAUUCGUGAUGAAGAGCCAAGGCUUAUUGAUGUUGAUCCAAAUCAAGAAACAGACGAAGACUCUGGCGAUGAGGAAAGACAUAUAUUACCAGAAAUUAAUUCUGACACCGAAGAAGACUCAUCGGAUGAUUCCGAUUACGAGCCUUAGUUUUAAUUUAGAGGACGUAAUCCAUUAAUUCGUAUAACUAAAGACCUUUUCCUUUAUAGUUUACAUAUGUUGAAUUCAUAUUUCAGUUAUUUUAUAUGAAUUUUGGUGAUACAUGAUGAACAGGAAGUUAGUAUGGUUUACUAAUACUCUAACCUAUUUCGUCGGCUAAAACCGUCUUAGCCGACGAAUUAUAGUGUAUUUCAUUGGCUAAUAAAGUUUUAGCCGACGAAUAACCUAAUAUUUCGUCGGCUUUAGUUAUUUUUUAAUUUUUUAAUUACAUACUAUAGCCGACGAAUACGUUAGGGUAUUCGUCGGCUAAACCCUAAAAUUUUUCUAUUACCUACUAUAGCCCUAUCUUCGGUAGUUAUUUUCCGUAAAAUUUUUAGACGACUUCUUGCGUCUCAUCAGUUUGAAACUAUUUUCAGUUGGAGGUCCGGCCAAAAUACGUAAUUUAGACGGUCGAACGACCUUUUCCGUGCGUUUAGGGGUUUGACUUACGAGAUUGACCGUCCGGAUCGAGCCCUUAUUCUUUUCGGAUCAAGUUGAAUUUUUUCCCAUACAUGUAUUUUGUCAGGAUGGUUAGAUUUGACGGUCGGAUUUCUGUUUCUCAAGUUUGAUCAUCACAAUCACAACAUGCAUAUUAAUGUUGUAUAACUUGUUUACCAAGUGUUAUGUAAAUGUUCCAUUUCAAAAACAAACUAUACGUAAAACCUUCAACGGCUAAAAAGUCAUGAAAUAAGAUAUGAUGAGAAUGUUGAAAUACAUCCACGGUUGAAAAAUCACACUAUUCCGGUAAAUAUUCGGUGCCGAUAGUUGCGGUCAAUGCAAUUUUUCAUUCUUUCCCCCUAUGAGUAGCCCUAUAUUCGGUGGUUAUUUUGCGUAAAAUUUUUAUACGACUUGUUGCGUGUCAUCGAUUUAAAACUAUUUUCAGUUGGAGGUCCGGCCAAAAUACGUAAUUUAGACGGUCGAACAACCUUUUCCGUGCGUUUAGGGGUUUGACUUACGAGAUUGACCGUCCGGAUCGAGCCCUUAUUCUUGUCGGAUCAAGUUGAAUUUUUUCCCAUACAUGUAUUUUGUCAUGAUGGUCAGAUCUGACGGUCGGAUUUAUUUUUCUCAUGUUUGAUCAUCACAAUCACAAUGUGCCAAAUGUAUAAAAAUACUUUUAGCCGACGAAUUUCAAAGGUUAGCCGACGAAUUUUAAAGGUUUAGUCGACGAAUUUAUAAAGUUUAGCUGACGAAUUUCAAAGUUUUAGCCGACGAAUUUAGAAGGUUUAGCCGACGAAUUGAUGUAUAGCUGACGAAAUUCUUAGCUUUAGCCAACGAAAUAAUUAUUUCGUCGGCUAAAGUUUUCGGGUUUACCUGCGAAACCCUAGCCUCCUCCCUCCUCCCUUCUAAUUAUCCCUCUCCCGUCUCCGCCUCCUUCCUCCUCCCUCCCUCCCUCUCCCGGUCCCGGUCUCCUCCCUC